This is a non-coding RNA of Cajanus cajan (pigeon pea), 119 nucleotides long. The record is from Rfam. Lineage: Eukaryota; Viridiplantae; Streptophyta; Magnoliopsida; Fabales; Fabaceae.
AGCCGUGUAAUAAACACAGAGCGAACUAUUCUUUCGCCUUUUACUAAAGAAUACCGUGUGUUUGUUACUUCAAGCGGCAUAUCCUAAUUUUUUUUAAAGGGUCUAUUUCCAAAGACUCU